RNAcentral lists this ribosomal RNA (388 nucleotides) under uncultured eukaryote. Its description in RNAcentral is "SSU rRNA". It matches the Rfam family "Eukaryotic small subunit ribosomal RNA", at positions 587 to 972 of the family's 1831-position model. The record is from RNAcentral.
AGCUCCAAUAGCGUAUAUCAAAGUUGUUGCAGUUAAAAAGCUCGUAGUUGGAUCUCGGGAGCAGGCGUGCGGUCCGCCUCGCGGCGGUUUUACUGCUCGCUCCUGCCCUACUUUCUGCCGGACGUCCCCCGGUGCCCUUCGCUGGGUGCCGGGGGUGGCCGGAACGUUUACUUUGAAAAAAUUAGAGUGUUCAAAGCAGGCAUUUCGCCCUGAAUAAUGGUGCAUGGAAUAAUGGAAUAGGACCUCGGUUCUAUUUUGUUGGUUUCCGGAGCUCGAGGUAAUGAUUAAGAGGGACGGCCGGGGGCAUUUGUAUUGCGGCGUUAGAGGUGAAAUUCUUGGAUCGUCGCAAGACAAACCACAGCGAAAGCAUUUGCCAAGAAUGUUUUCA